Molecule: long non-coding RNA, 742 nt
Filed under: Saimiri boliviensis boliviensis (Bolivian squirrel monkey)
Lineage: Eukaryota; Metazoa; Chordata; Mammalia; Primates; Cebidae
Description: lncRNA (ENSSBOG00000036662.1)
Source: RNAcentral
UUUUCCAAAAGUUUUCCAACUAGAGAAAGCUGGAUCCUCAGGCUCAGAACUCCCCUGACUCCACCUCCCUUCCCGCCCACUUUCGUUCCAGCUCCAUCUUUCUCCUCCUGCUCCUGCCCACCAUCUUCCCAGCAGGCCCUGCUACAAGCCUCUCCAAACACCGAAACGGGAGCCGCUCCGCACCGGCCUCCGGCGCUUAAUCCGGUUGGGGAGGGGCUGCUGCGACCCCGGGACGUGCUUUGGUGUCACUCACACUUCCACCCCCACCCAAAGAGACCCGAAGCAAUAGCACCUUUACAAAAACUGACCGGCAGGGAUGCAGGGGAUUUUCCUCUCUUCCCUCACCUCGAUUUGUGUCGCGCCCAAGAAACCAAAUAUCCUGCAGACAGAUGGGAGUGUUUGGGAGCUGCUACAGGAAACAGGCCCUGGACUAUAAGGACUUCUGCACACGUCGACUCCUGGUCACGUGAGUGCCGCGUCACCACUGAGCUCGCCUCCCCAGUCACCCCUCCCAUUAACACUGAAGCCCGCCCACUGCGUUCCCUCCACUUGAUACUGUCAAUCUUUUUUCGUAUUUGCCAAUCAGUGACAAUAAACUGUUACCUUCCCCCUGGACUCUUUAUUCGCCUUUCUCAGAUUACCAGGAGGAUCAGCCUUCUAGGGUAAAACGACCAUUUCUCUUUCUUUGGCGAAUCGUCUCUUUCUUCUGCUCUCAAUACUCCCACCUCCAAGACCCCUACAG